RNAcentral lists this ribosomal RNA (463 nucleotides) under uncultured Diversispora. Its description in RNAcentral is "SSU rRNA". It matches the Rfam family "Eukaryotic small subunit ribosomal RNA", at positions 569 to 1035 of the family's 1831-position model. Lineage: Eukaryota; Fungi; Glomeromycota; Glomeromycetes; Diversisporales; Diversisporaceae. The record is from RNAcentral.
AGCAGCCGCGGUAAUUCCAGCUCCAAUAGCGUAUAUUAAAGUUGUCGCAGUUAAAAAGCUCGUAGUUGAACUUCGGGGUCUACCCAUUGGUCAGGCUUAAUUGUCUGUACUGGUGAGAUGGAUCUCUACCUUCUGAGGAACUUUCAUGCCAUUUAUUUGGUGUGAUUGGAAAUCAGGACUGUUACUUUGAAAAAUUAGAGUGUUUAAAGCAGACUAUCGUCUGAAUACAUUAGCAUGGAAUAAUGAAAUAGGACGGACUGAUUCUAUUUCGUUGGUCUCUAGGAUCACCGUAAUGAUUAAUAGGGAUAGUUGGGGGCAUUAGUAUUCAAUUGUCAGAGGUGAAAUUCUUGGAUUUAUUGAAGACUAACUACUGCGAAAGCAUUUGCCAAGGAUGUUUUCAUUAAUCAAGAACGAAAGUUAGGGGAUCGAAGACGAUCAGAUACCGUCGUAGUCUUAACCAUAG